UACGGCUCAGUAACACGUAGUCAACCUAACCUAUGGACGGGGAUAACCUCGGGGAAACUGAGAAUAAUACCCGAUAGAUCAUGAUACCUGGAACGGUUUAUGGUUCAAAUGAUUUAUCGCCAUAGGAUGGGACUGCGGUCUAUCAGCUUGUUGGUGAGGUAAUGGCCCACCAAGGCUAUAACAGAUACGGGCUCUGAGAGGAGGGGCCCGGAGAUGGGUACUGAGACACGGACCCAGGUCCUAUGGGGCGCAGCAGGCGAGAAACCUUUGCAAUGUGCGAAAGCACGACAAGGUUAAUCCGAGUGAUUUCUGCUAAAGAAAUCUUUUGUUAGUCAUAAAACCACUGAUGAAUAAGGGGUGGGCAAGUUCUGGUGUCAGCCGCCGCGGUAAUACCAGCACCUCGAGUGGUCAGGAGGUUUAUUGGGCCUAAAGCAUCCGUAGCCGGCUGCAUAAGUUUCAGGUUAAGUCCACACGCUUAACGUAUGGGCUGCCGGAAAUACUGUUCAGCUAGGGAGUGGGAGAGGUGGACGGUACUCGGUAGGAAGGGGUAAAAUCCUUUGAUCUAUUGAUGACCACCUGUGGCGAAGGCGGUCCACCAGAACACGUUCGACGGUGAGGGAUGAAAGCUGGGGGAGCAAACCGGAUUAGAUACCCGGGUAGUCCCAGCUGUAAACGAUGCAGACUCGGUGAUGCAUUGGCUUGUGGCCAGUGCAGUGCCGCAGGGAAGCCGUUAAGUUUGCCGCCUGGGAAGUACGGUCGCAAGAUUGAAACUUAAAGGAAUUGGCGGGGGAGCACCACAAGGGGUGAAGCCUGCGGUUCAAUUGGAAUCAACGCCGGG
Molecule: ribosomal RNA, 838 nt
Filed under: uncultured archaeon
Lineage: Archaea
Description: bacterial SSU rRNA
Rfam family: Archaeal small subunit ribosomal RNA
Source: RNAcentral